UAAUCUCCGAGAAAUACUGCGCGGCUCGGAAGUCGAAACCUGAUCCCAGAGACAUUCUCGCUCCACUUUUGGUUGUUUUUAUUUUCUGAGAAAUGAGGCUGUGACGCCUCUUGUCCUCGCCGAAAAUGUCUUCAAUGCGAUGGUAAGGUGUAUGUAUCGGGGAGAGUGUGUCGCGGUGCGUCAUGUCGAGACGCAUCACCGUGUUGGAAUAUGCGGAGGCUAUUAGGAACAUCGUGAUGAGACAGAAGAGCAUUGUCAUUGGCUUCAUUUUCGUCCUCUUGUUCUGUUUUUUUUUUUGUUUGUUAUGCUCCUUUUUGGGUUGUCCGUUUCUAAAAGACUAGAACAGGGUAUUUAUAUACACUGACCAACACGUCUUUUUCUCUCUUCUUUUUAAAAUCAUUAUCUAAAACCUUAAAAUAUUUUGUAGUUUUUAGAAUUGUUUUAGUUUAGGAAAUAUACACUUCUAAUGCAAGAUCAAACUCCCACAAAUGUUUCUGCUGCAUUAUAUUCCCGAUGACAUUAGGAGCCGGAGCUCCGGCCGGCACAAACCCUAAACACCUGAUUCCUGGAGAAGCAGUAGCUAUUAGGUAGCUUUUACGAUAAGGCGCGAAACGAGCACCGCCCUUGAAGUGAAACGACAGCUGCGGCAGCUUGCUAUCGUCGAACUUGCUGGUAUCAAAACAAUACUCCAUUGGUAGUCCUUCUGGUUUGACUCUUUUCAAGCCGACAAGGUGACGCUCCAGCCCCGACACAACCGCCUUGUACGCCGCAUCAGCCAAGAACGUGAGGCUGCUUCCUGAGUCCAAGAUGGUCCCACCACCUUUUCUUACCUCCCACACUACGGGAGGGAUGUUGAGCAUGGUAUUUCCGAUGGAGAUUCCGACGAUGCUGACGGCGUAGAAGGGAGGGAGAAGAUUGAGUUCAAGCCGAGCGGUUCGUCUUGCGGGGGGUUUGAGGGUAGACGUGGGGUUAGAACCGAAGGUGAGAUAGUUGGAGAUGUUUUUGUUGGAAGUAUGGUCAACGAGGCAGUAUGAGAAUUUGGCUCCGAAGAUGUUAGUGGCUUUUGCAGUGAAGGACUGAUCGCUAAAGGCUAGACCAAGAACACCGUCCGAUGCACGGAGGCUGUCACCUUUUGUGGAGCUGCUGCAGCCAAUGAGUAGGCCAGGGAUACUAGUAGGGCUGCCGUUGGUGAGGCCAAGUGUGAAUGUAUCCGUAGCGAAUACACCUUGUGCUGUUGACCCAUCUGCGUAUCUGUUUCACACGAUCCAAAUUAGUAUUAGUAAGAAUGCAUAAACAUGGAAUAUUUGCAUUAGGUUUAACUAUUACAAUAAGAGAGGCUAGAGUUUUAUCUAUUACUCAAAAGGCAAACCUAACUCACAAGUUACAAUAAGUGACAUUUAUGUAUUGUAAUGAAUAGUAACAAGACAUUUAAUUUCACAUCUUAUCCCUUACAUACACUUGCAUCUAAAUCUAUGCCUCCAGCAAGUUCUCUAGAUAGUUGGAGAAAACAGCGAGAAGGAUGCGGUAAUAAUAGAGAGAGGUCCCUCUUCUUCUCUCAUUCAUGACCAUCACCAUCAUUUCCUCUUUGGCAUAUAACCACUACAUAUUUAAGCAACAUUGUUAUACUAAGCAUCUCCUGAUUAGACUCUACCUAAUCACAUUUUGACUACGGAUCUAUAUUGUAAUCACCACCACGAAAUGAAACACACACACAAUACCUCUUUGGUAUAUAAGUCAUAACAAAUAAGCUAAUCAGAUUGUUUAUCCUUAAAUAAACUCUACAUAAUCACAUUUUGACUAUGGAUCAAGAAUGCAAUCACGACCAAUGAAAGAGAGAUUAUUUAUGUGACAUGUACCUGUAAUCAUAAGAGCAUGGAGAUUGAGGGGUAGGGCAAAUGGAGAGGGAGAAGAGGUUCAUCAAAUCAACCUUACAAGUGUUUGUCAUGCAUCCAACUGUUUUAAAACUCGACGACCCCUCUGCUCGAAAGACUUCACGGUUCCCCUUUCCUUUCCCUUGGAACCUACAAUUAACCCACGUCAGCUCGCUCCCUGUGUCCACCACCACCCGGAACUUCUUCGCCGGCGUUCCGACCAUAAUCUCCGAGAAAUACUGCGCGGCUCCGAAGUCGAAACCUGAUCCCAGAGACAUUCUCGCUCCACUUUUGGUUGUUUUUAUUUUCUGAGAAAUGAGGCUGUGACGCCUCUUGUCCUCGCCGAAAAUGUCUUCAAUGCGAUGGUAAGGUGUAUGUAUCGGGGAGAGUGUGUCGCGGUGCGUCAUGUCGAGACGCAUCACCGUGUUGGAAUAUGCGGAGGCUAUUAGGAACAUCGUGAUGAGACAGAAGAGCAUUGUCAUUGGCUUCAUUUUCGUCCUCUUGUUCUGUUUUUUUUUUU
This 2391-nucleotide long non-coding RNA is filed under the name Brassica napus (rape). Its description in RNAcentral is "long non-coding RNA (BNAP_LNC002093)". The record is from RNAcentral. Lineage: Eukaryota; Viridiplantae; Streptophyta; Magnoliopsida; Brassicales; Brassicaceae.